AUAAGCAAAAAAGGGCAGAUGGAGGAUGCCUUGGCUCUUAAUAGCGAAGAAGGACGUGAUAAGCUGCGAUAAGCUACACUGAGACGCAAAUAGUCUUUGAGGUGUAGAUUUCCGAAUGGGGCAACCCUCAUGAUUGAAGAUCAUGAAUCUCGAAAGAGAAGCACACCCAGUGAACUGAAACAUCUAAGUAACUGGAGGAAAAGAAAAUAACAAAUGAUUCCCUGAGUAGUGGCGAGCGAAACGGGAAGAGCCCAAACCAACGAUGUUUAGGCAUUGUUGGGGUUGUAGGACCGCAUUUAGGAAUUAAAUUGAAUUUGGAAGUCAACUGGAAAGUUGUCCCAUAGAAGGUGAUAGGCCUGUACAGAAGCUAAUUUAAUUUUGAGCGGUAUCCUGAGUAGGGCGGGACACGUGAAAUCCUGUCUGAAUCCGCCGGAACCAUCCGGUAAGGCUAAAUAUAUUGAGAGACCGAUAGUGUACAAGUACUGCGAAGGAAAGGUGAAAAGAACCUCGAACAGAGGAGUGAAAUAGAACCUGAAACCAUCUGCUUACAAGCGGUCGGAGCGUAAGUGACGACCUGCCUUUUGCAUAAUGAGCCUACGAGUUACUCCUCUUUGGCAAGGAUAAGUAUUUAUGAUACGCAUCCGAAGCGAAAGCAAGUCUAAACAGGGCGUUUAGUCAAAGGGGGUAGACGCGAAACCUAAGUGAUCUACUCAUGACCAGGUUGAAGUCUCGGUAACACGAGAUGGAGGACCGAACCCGUUAACGUUGAAAAGUUUUGGGAUGAGUUGUGAGUAGGGGUGAAAGGCUUAUCAAACUGGGAAAUAGCUCGUUCUCCCCGAAAUGCAUUUAGGUGCAGCCUUGUGGUGAGUGCGACGGAGGUAGAGCUACCGAUUGGGCUAGGGGGUGUCACAACCUACCAAACCCUGACGAACUCCGAAUGCCGUCUCAUAUACACAGGAGUGAGGGUAUGGGUGCUAAGGUCCGUAUCCGAGAGGGAAAUAACCCAGACUAUCUGCUAAGGUCCCCAAAUCUAUACUAAGUUGAAAAAACGUGGUGUGGUUGCAUUGACAGCUAGGAUGUUUGCUUGGAAGCAGCAAUUCAUUUAAAGAGUGCGUAACAGCUCACUAGUCGAGCGAUCAUGCGUGGAUAAUAAUCGGGCAUAAGUAUAGUACCGAAGCAGUAGAUUUAUGGUAGGGGAGCAUUCUAAACCGCGUUGAAGGCGAUUCGUAAGGAUCUCUGGAGCGUUUAGAAAAGAAAAUGUAGGCAUAAGUAACGAUUAAGGAAGUGAAAAACUUCCUCGCCAAAAGACCAAGGGUUCCUGAUCAAUGUUAGUCAGAUCAGGUUUAGUCGGAUCCUUAGGUGAACCCGACAGGGGUAGCCGAUGGAAAACAGGUUGAUAUUCCUGUACCGGCGUAUCAUUAAAAGUGACGGAUGGACGUGGUGGCUACGUGCUGACGGAAUAGCACGUUGAGCCGAAUCUUCGGAAGAAGCGAAGUCAUAAAAUCCAUUCCAAGAAAAGCGAGAUACGCAGUCCGUACCCGAAACCGACACAGGUGGUCAAGUAGAAUAUACUAAGGCGCUCGAGUGAAUCAUGGUUAAGGAACUAGGCAAAUUAGUCUCGUAACUUCGGGAAAAGAGACACCACAGCAAUGUGGUCGCAGAGAAAUGGCCCUGGCGACUGUUUAACAAAAACACAUGGCUAUGCAAAAUCGAAAGAUGACGUAUAUGGCCUGACACCUGCCCGGUGCUGGAAGGUUAAAAGGAGAUGUCAGCGCAAGCGAAGCAUUGAAUUGAAGCCCCAGUAAACGGCGGCCGUAACUAUAACGGUCCUAAGGUAGCGAAAUUCCUUGUCGGGUAAGUUCCGACCUGCACGAAUGGUGUAACGAUCUGGGCACUGUCUCAACCAUGAGCUCGGUGAAAUUGUAGUCUCGGUGAAGAUGCCGAGUACCCGCAACGGGACGGAAAGACCCUGUGAACCUUCACUAUAGCUUUGCAUUGGAGUUGGUUAAACGAUGUGUAGGAUAGGUGGGAGACUUUGAAGCGGCUUCGCUAGGAGCUGUGGAGUCAACGUUGAAAUACCACCCUUUGUUUAAUUGAUUUCUAACUAUUAGGACAGUGCAUGGCGGGUAGUUUGACUGGGGUGGUCGCCUCCGAAAGCGUAUCGGAGGCUUCCAAAGGUACCCUCAGUACGGUUGGUAAUCGUACGUAGAGUGCAAUGGCAUAAGGGUGCUUGACUGUGAGACUGACAAGUCGAUCAGGUACGAAAGUAGGGCAUAGUGAUCCGGUGGUUCCGAAUGGAAGGGCCAUCGCUCAAAGGAUAAAAGGUACUCCGGGGAUAACAGGCUGAUCACUCCCAAGAGCUCACAUCGACGGAGUGGUUUGGCACCUCGAUGUCGGCUCGUCACAUCCUGGGGCUGGAGA
RNAcentral lists this ribosomal RNA (2421 nucleotides) under freshwater metagenome. Its description in RNAcentral is "bacterial LSU rRNA". It matches the Rfam family "Bacterial large subunit ribosomal RNA", at positions 1 to 2559 of the family's 2925-position model. The record is from RNAcentral.